This 496-nucleotide ribosomal RNA is filed under the name uncultured bacterium. RNAcentral's name for it is "partial 16S ribosomal RNA". It matches the Rfam family "Bacterial small subunit ribosomal RNA", at positions 29 to 507 of the family's 1533-position model. The record is from RNAcentral.
AUGAACGCUGGCGGCGUGCCUAAUCCAUGCAAGUCGAGCGAACAGAUAAGGAGCUUGCUCCUUUGACGUUAGCGGCGGACGGGUGAGUUACACGUGGAUAACCUACCUAUAAGACUGGGAUAACUUCGGGAAACCGGAGCUAAUACCGGAUAACAUAUUGAACCGCAUGGUUCAAUAGUGAAAGGCGGCUUUGCUGUCACUUAUAGAUGGAUCCGCGCCGUAUUAGCUAGUUGGUAAGGUAACGGCUUACCAAGGCAACGAUACGUAGCCGACCUGAGAGGGUGAUCGGCCACACUGGAACUGAGACACGGUCCAGACUCCUACGGGAGGCAGCAGUAGGGAAUCUUCCGCAAUGGGCGAAAGCCUGACGGAGCAACGCCGCGUGAGUGAUGAAGGUCUUCGGAUCGUAAAACUCUGUUAUCAGGGAAGAACAAAUGUGUAAGUAACUGUGCACAUCUUGACGGUACCUGAUCAGAAAGCCACGGCUAACUACGUG